This 460-nucleotide ribosomal RNA is filed under the name uncultured bacterium. Its description in RNAcentral is "partial 16S ribosomal RNA". It matches the Rfam family "Bacterial small subunit ribosomal RNA", at positions 338 to 795 of the family's 1533-position model. The record is from RNAcentral.
CCUACGGGGGACAGCAGUGAGGAAUAUUGGUCAAUGGACGAGAGUCUGACCCAGCCAAGUAGCGUGAAGGAUGACUGCCCUAUGGGUUGUAACCUUCUUUUAUAAAGGAAUAAAACGAGGCACGUGUGCCUUAUUGCAUGUACUUUAUGAAUAAGGAUCGGCUAACUCCGUGCCAGCAGCCGCGGUAAUACGGAGGAUCCGAGCGUUAUCCGGAUUUAUUGGGUUUAAAGGGAGCGUAGAUGGGUUGUUAAGUCAGUUGUGAAAGCUUGGGGCUCAACCGUAAAAUUGCAAUUGAUACUGGCAGUCUUGAGUGCAGGAGAGGUAGGCGGAAUUCGUGGUGUAGCGGUGAAAUGCUUAGAUAUCACGAAGAACCCCGAUUGCGAAGGCAGCUUACUAAACUGUAACUGACAUUGAGGCUCGAAAGUGUGGGUAUCAAACAGGAUUAGAUACCCGUGUAGUC